This 2170-nucleotide ribosomal RNA is filed under the name marine metagenome. RNAcentral's name for it is "bacterial LSU rRNA". It matches the Rfam family "Bacterial large subunit ribosomal RNA", at positions 266 to 2514 of the family's 2925-position model. The record is from RNAcentral.
AGCCCAAACCAGGGGCUUUGCUCCUGGGGUUGUAGGGCUCCGAUGUGGUAUCCUGAAAGUUAGUCGAAGUGGAUGGAAAACCACUCCAUAGAAGGUGAAAGGCCUGUAAGCGAAAACUGGAUGGAGCCUAGGAUGUCCCUGAGUAAUACGGAACACGUGAAACUCCGUAUGAAUCUGCGCCGACCAUGGCGUAAGGCUAAAUACUAACUGUCGACCGAUAGUGAACUAGUACCGUGAGGGAAAGGUGAAAAGUACCCCUUUGAGGGGAGUGAAAUAGUACCUGAAACCGUGUGCCUACAAGGAGUGGGAGCCUCUUCGGAGGUGACCGCGUGCCUUUUGCUUAAUGAGUCUACGAGUUAGUGUCUGUGGCAAGCUUAAGCACUUUUGGUGUGUAGGCGUAGCGAAAGCGAGUCCGAAUAGGGCGACCAUAGUCGCAGGCGCUAGACCCGAAACGGAGGUGACCUACCCAUGGCCAGGUUGAAGCAACGGUAAAACGUUGUGGAGGACCGAACCGGUACAGGUUGAAAACUGUUCGGAUGAGCUGUGGGUCGGAGUGAAAGGCUAAUCAAACCCCGUGAUAGCUGGUUCUCCUCGAAAUGCAUUUAGGUGCAGCGUCGCGUGCUUACCCUCGGGGGUAGAGCACUGAAUGAGCUAGGGCCCAUACCAGGGUACCAAACUCAACUAAACUCCGAAUACCGGGGGGUGGAACGCGGCAGUGAGACUGCGGGGGAUAAGCUUCGUAGUCGAAAGGGAAACAGCCCAGAUCAGCAGCUAAGGUGCCUAAAUAGUGCUCAGUGGAAAGGAGGUGGGAUUUCAUAGACAGUGAGGAUGUUGGCUUAGAAGCAGCCACCAUUUAAACAAAGCGUAACAGCUGACUCAUCGAGAGAUCCUGCGCCGAAAAUGAUUGGCGAUAAGCACUAUACCGAAGCUCUGGAUGCACAGCUUGCUGUGCGUGGUAGAGGAGCGUUCUCAACACCUUGAAGCCUUAAGGCGACUGAUGGUGGAGCGUUGAGAAGUGAGUAUGUAGACAUGAGUAACGAUAAGCCAGGUGAGAUCCCUGGCCGCCGUAAACCCAAGGUUUCCUGGGCCAUGCUGGUCAUCCCAGGGUUAGUCGGGACCUAAGCCGAGGCCGAAGGGCGUAGGCGAUGGACUAAAGAGGUUAAUAUUCCUCGACUUCCGAUACCUUAAACUAGAAGGACGCAUAUUGAAUGACGAUUAUCUGAUUGAAUUGGGAGGGGAUGGUUUAUCCUGAACCGUAUCGUUUGAAAAUGUGCCAAGAAAAGUUCUAGUGUAUGCUAAGGAACCCGUACCGUAAACCGACACAGGUGGGUGGGUAGAAUAUACUAAGGCGCAAGAGUGAAACCCUGUUAAGGAACUCGGCAAUCUAGCCCCGUAACUUCGGGAGAAGGGGUCCCGUGACUUUGUCACGGGCGCAGUGAAAGGGCCCAUCCGACUGUUUAGCAAAAACACAGCAUUCUGCGAACACGCAAGUGGAAGUAUAGGAUGUGACACGUGACCAAUGCCAAAAGAUUAAGGGGAGGUGUUAGCCUUCGGGCGAAGCUCUGAUCCUAAGUCCUGGUGAAUGUCGGCCGUAACUAUAACGGUCCUAAGGUAGCGAAAUUCCUUGUCGGGUAAGUUCCGACCUGCACGAAUCGUGCAACGAGAUGGGCGCUGUCUCAACAGGGAGCUCAGUGAAAUUGUAUCCGCGGUGAAGAUGCCGCGUACCCGCAGAAGGACGGAAAGACCCUAUAGACCUUAACUGUAAGCUGUCACUGGUUUCUCGAUUUUAAUGCUCAGCAUAAGUGGGAGGCUUUGAACCAUUCCUCUAGGGGAGUGGGGAGCCAUCAGUGAGAUACCACCCUUUAGCAUUGGGGAAUCUAACCUCUAGCCUUUAUCAGGCAGAGGGACCAUGGCAGCCGGUCAGUUUGACUGGGGCGGUCUCCUCCUAAAGAGUAACGGAGGAGCGCGAAGGUAGGCUCAGCGCGGUUGGCAAUCGCGUUUCGAGUGCAUUGGCAUAAGCCUGCCUAACUGCGAGACUUACAAGUCGAGCAGAGACGAAAGUCGGCCAAAGUGAUCCGGCGGUGGAAUAUGGAAUCGCCGUCGCUCAUCGGACAAAAGGUACCUUAGGGAUAACAGGCUGAUCGCGCCCAAGAGUUCAUAUCGACGGCGC